RNAcentral lists this long non-coding RNA (217 nucleotides) under Theobroma cacao (cacao). RNAcentral describes it as "long non-coding RNA (TCAC_LNC004955)". The record is from RNAcentral. Lineage: Eukaryota; Viridiplantae; Streptophyta; Magnoliopsida; Malvales; Malvaceae.
UAUGAUUUCCAUAAACAUUUGGCUCAUGCCAUCAAAUAGUACUUGAUGACACCUUGAUCAGAGGCGUACACUCGAGCCCGCCAAGGCUGUUAAGAUUUCGUAUACACGUAAAACAUAUUUUUAGUUUGAAAAACACAACCAUUCCUUGGAGUUAGCGGAGUUCAUCAUCACAAGGUGGUUCGGCGUGACGUGAACUCUAUCCAUACCUCAAGAGAUA